GGGGUGCUCGAGUGGCGAACGGGUGAGUAACACGUGAGUAACCUGCCCUUGACUUUGGGAUAACUUCAGGAAACUGGGGCUAAUACCGGAUAGGAGCUCCUGCUGCAUGGUGGGGGUUGGAAAGUUUCGGCGGUUGGGGAUGGACCCGCGGCUUAUCAGCUUGUUGGUGGGGUAGUGGCUUACCAAGGCUUUGACGGGUAGCCGGCCUGAGAGGGUGACCGGCCACAUUGGGACUGAGAUACGGCCCAG
Molecule: ribosomal RNA, 249 nt
Filed under: uncultured Actinomycetales bacterium
Lineage: Bacteria; Bacillati; Actinomycetota; Actinomycetes; Actinomycetales
Description: partial 16S ribosomal RNA
Rfam family: Bacterial small subunit ribosomal RNA
Source: RNAcentral